RNAcentral lists this transfer RNA (71 nucleotides) under Marmota monax (woodchuck). It matches the Rfam family "tRNA". From Rfam's summary of the family: Transfer RNA (tRNA) molecules are approximately 80 nucleotides in length. Their secondary structure includes four short double-helical elements and three loops (D, anti-codon, and T loops). Further hydrogen bonds mediate the characteristic L-shaped molecular structure. tRNAs have two regions of fundamental functional importance: the anti-codon, which is responsible for specific mRNA codon recognition, and the 3' end, to which the tRNAs corresponding amino acid is attached (by aminoacyl-tRNA synthetases). tRNAs cope with the degeneracy of the genetic code in two manners: having more than one tRNA (with a specific anti-codon) for a particular amino acid; and 'wobble' base-pairing, i.e. permitting non-standard base-pairing at the 3rd anti-codon position. Lineage: Eukaryota; Metazoa; Chordata; Mammalia; Rodentia; Sciuridae. The record is from Rfam by way of RNAcentral.
GGGGAUGUAACUUAGUGGCAGAGCACUGCCUAGUAUGUGAGAGGCCCUGGGUUCAAUUCCCAAUAUCCCAA